UGGGUAGACCACUUUCUUCUUCCAUCACUACUUCUGGUUGGUUGUAGUCUCCUAUUCCAAACAAGAGGAUGGAAGAACAAGAUAAGGAGACUCUGACAACCUUCAGUGAAGUGAAGUUCUUCAGAAGUAGUUCGUUCUUGGAUCCAGUUGUGGAAGACAUAUCUCUUCUGGAUCAGAUUUGGAGGAUGAAGCAGUUCUUCCGC
This 203-nucleotide long non-coding RNA is filed under the name Vigna radiata. Its description in RNAcentral is "long non-coding RNA (VRAD_LNC016060)". The record is from RNAcentral. Lineage: Eukaryota; Viridiplantae; Streptophyta; Magnoliopsida; Fabales; Fabaceae.